CACAUAAGUCAUCCUCUUAUAACCUCAGGGUAUUUCACAUUCUGACGAAUCAAAAUCUUUUUUUCACUCUCCCUACUCAUGUUAGGCAUUGUCAGGUAAUGAUAACAUCUGCUGUGUGAAACCUUUUUUAAAGCACACUGAAAGCCAGUGUCCCAAAGUUCUGGGAUAUAAAGAAAAUCUGGGAACAGCAGCUCCAUCUCUUCCUGAAGAUUUAUCACCACAGAAUGAUUCCCCUGUGGAAGCAAAGAAGACAAUGUUCUCAGUGAAGCUCUGCCAGGUCCAGCGCCUCCUGUCAGGCAGUUCACAACCUCAGCCCCUUUAGAUACCCCGCACCAGCCAGCAGCCUCUGUCGCAGGCUGCGAUGAGGAUUUUGCACCCACCUCAGCCUGAGCUCAUAGACUUAAUCUCUGAGCUGCCUUCACCAAAGUAC
Molecule: long non-coding RNA, 430 nt
Organism: Micropterus dolomieu (smallmouth bass)
Lineage: Eukaryota; Metazoa; Chordata; Actinopteri; Centrarchiformes; Centrarchidae
Exons: 3
Source: RefSeq, a predicted model, not a curated record